RNAcentral lists this unclassified non-coding RNA (215 nucleotides) under rhizosphere metagenome. RNAcentral's name for it is "partial ribosomal RNA internal transcribed spacer region". The record is from RNAcentral.
GUAGGUGAACCUGCGGAAGGAUCAUUACCGAGUUCAUGCCCUCACGGGUAGAUCUCCCACCCUUUGUAUACCAUACCUUUGUUGCUUUGGCGGGCCGCCUAGCUACUGGCUUCGGCUGGUAAGUGCCCGCCAGAGGACCCAAAACCCUGAUUAUUAGUGUCGUCUGAGUAAAAUUUUAAUAUUUAAAACUUUCAACAACGGAUCUCUUGGUUCUG